This 29-nucleotide non-coding RNA is filed under the name Rattus norvegicus (Norway rat). The record is from RNAcentral. Lineage: Eukaryota; Metazoa; Chordata; Mammalia; Rodentia; Muridae.
UGGGAGAUGGUUUGUAAGUAAUUCAGUAA